This is a long non-coding RNA of Chenopodium quinoa (quinoa), 1486 nucleotides long. RefSeq lists it as uncharacterized. The record is from RefSeq and is a predicted model, not a curated record. NCBI's taxonomy places the organism in Eukaryota, Viridiplantae, Streptophyta, Magnoliopsida, Caryophyllales, Amaranthaceae. The transcript is spliced from 3 exons.
GGAAGACGAAAGGGAAUAAGGUGGACUUGGAAGGGACAAUUGCAAAAUAAGAGGCCCACUUGUGUUAGACAUCACGUCCCAUCAUAAAGCAAAGAAAACAAAAUGAAAAGAAAAAAAAAAGGGAUAAGAAGAAAAGGAGUAAAGAUGCGUGGUACAGGGUAAAUUAAGCAACCUGACAUUAUCAAUCCUCAUCCCCAAAACAAGAGUUGCUAUUCUCCUUCGAAAUUCACGAGAAGUCAUGAAGAAGAUCAAGUUUUAUCAUACUCUACAAUUCUAUCCCUUCAAACCCAGAAAACCUAGGUUCUUUUCGGCUAUAAAAUCCCCAAUUAUCCCUCCUAGAAAACACACAAGUAUUACCACAAAAAUACGGGAAGUUCGUGAGGCUUAGUAGAGCACGAAUUGGUCCAAGGUUGAUCAAUUGGAAGGCGAAGGGACGAAUUUGAAGAUGGAUUCGAGCAGCGGCUGUUUGUUUCUUGGCUCAAUCCAUAAGUGCAUGUACGCGUACGAUAAAGAAGCAAGACUUCAGCGCAUAAGAGCGUACAUAGACUUGAUAAACGGAGCAAAACCAGAAGAGCUUCUUCAUAUUUUCAGUGCUGAAUCAGCACUUGAAUUAGAAGAUCCUUUGUCGAUCAAAUAUAACAUGGCAGAACAAACAUUAAAAGAACUGGGAGCCCCUAAAACAGGAGAAGAUCCUCUCUACAUUGUCUUUUCAGAACUAUAGACUCCCCUGAAACUGAACUCGGGGUUCCUUAGUCUUCUCCCUAAAUUCUAUGGGAACGCAGGAAGACAAAAGGGAAUAAGGUGGACUUGGAAGGGACAAUUGCAAAAUAAGAAGCCCACUUGUGUUAGACAUCACGUGCCAUCAUAAUGCAAAGAAAAGCAAAAUGAAAAGAAAAAAAGGGGAUAAGAAGAAAAGGAGUAAAGAUGCGUGGUACAGGGGAAAUUAAGCAACCUGACAUUAUCAAUCCUCAUCCCCAAAACAAGAGUUGCUAUUCUCCUCCGAAAUUCACGAGAAGUCAUGAAGAAAAUCAAGUUUUAUCCUACUCUACAAUUCUAUCCCUUCAAACCCAGAAAACCUGGGUUGUUUUCGGUUAUAAAAUUCCCAAUUAUCCCUCCUAGAAAACACACAAGUAUUACCACAAAAAUACGGGAAGUUCGUGAGGCUUAGUAGAGCACGAAUUGGUCCAAGGUGAUCAAUUGGGUGGUAUUGGAAGGCGAAGGGAUGAAUUUGACGGUGGAUUCGUGCAGCGGCUGUUUGUUUCUUGGCUCAGUUCAUAAGUUCCCCCUAAUUUACUCCUCAUCUUUUAAUUUUGUGAUUAUUUUGGUUGCUUCUACUCGGUGAAUUGGAUGUAAUUUGAUCUUUAAUUUCCUGAUUUAUGUUUCGUAGUUUAAAUGCUGAGUAUAAUCGUCUUUAAAUACUCAAGUUUGAUACUUAAUUGAUCCACAUGAUUUCCUUGUUUUUAUAUGAACGUUUAAUUUAUUUAUA